CCGAGUGCGGGCCUCGCGGCCAACUCCCCACCCUUGUCUCUAUACACCUGUUGCUUUGGCGGGCCCACUGGGCCACCUGGUCGCCGGGGGACGCAUGUCCCCGGGCCCGCGCCCGCCGAAGCGCUCUGUGAACACCUGAUGAGAUGGGCUGUCUGAGUACUAUGAAAAUUGUCA
This 174-nucleotide unclassified non-coding RNA is filed under the name soil metagenome. RNAcentral's name for it is "partial internal transcribed spacer 1". The record is from RNAcentral.